CUGAGCCGAAGCCGGAGGCUUCACCGACUGAGCCACCCAGGCGCCCCCGGAGAAACAUUGUAAAGGCAUUAAAUGUCCCACAAGGGAUGAUGAGGAAGGCUUGUUUCGUUUUGGAAGAGCCAAAAUCUAGGUAAAUUCCUCAAGGUAAAGAUGAUGCCUCUGUUUCCUCUUUAUACCUCACACAGCGACAGGAAGACACGGUGACAAAAAGAGGUGGAUUCUGCUCAUUAUAUGACUCAAGGAUCUAGAAAGAUGGAAUACCUCCUACCUAAAUUUCGUCAGUUACUGCCACAAGGUAGAAAAGGGGACUGUGGAGCAUCUGAAACUAGCAGUUAAAUGUUUUAGCUAAAGUGACAGCUAGUCUGGUUUUUCAAAGACUGGCCUGGUUUAACACUGAAAGAUCCACAUCCUGGGAAACCUCUUAAUCUCAGGCCAAUCGGUAUGGUUCAUCACCGUCUAGCUCAGAAUUGACACAUCUCAUUGUUAUUCACAACUUAAUGUUGAGAACCAGUCACAUGGCUUCUCCUAACCACCGU
Suricata suricatta (meerkat) is the source of this 536-nucleotide long non-coding RNA. RefSeq lists it as uncharacterized. The record is from RefSeq and is a predicted model, not a curated record. The transcript has 3 exons. NCBI's taxonomy places the organism in Eukaryota, Metazoa, Chordata, Mammalia, Carnivora, Herpestidae.